This 497-nucleotide ribosomal RNA is filed under the name uncultured bacterium. Its description in RNAcentral is "partial 16S ribosomal RNA". It matches the Rfam family "Bacterial small subunit ribosomal RNA", at positions 28 to 507 of the family's 1533-position model. The record is from RNAcentral.
GAUGAACGCUGGCGGCGUGCCUAAUACAUGCAAGUCGAGCGAACAGAUAAGGAGCUUGCUCCUUUGACGUUAGCGGCGGACGGGUGAGUAACACGUGGAUAACCUACCUAUAAGACUGGGAUAACUUCGGGAAACCGGAGCUAAUACCGUAUAACCUAUUGAACCGCAUGGUUCAAUAGUGAAAGGCGGCUUUGCUGUCACUUAUAGAUGGAUCCGCGCCGUAUUAGCUAGUUGGUAAGGUAACGGCUUACCAAGGCAACGAUACGUAGCCGACCUGAGAGGGUGAUCGGCCACAACAGAACUGAGACACGGUCCAGACUCCUACGGGAGGCAGCAGUAGCGAAUCGUCCGCAAUAGGCGGAAGACUGACGGAGCAACGCCGCGUGAGUGAUGAAGGUCUUCGGAUCGUAAAACUCUGUUAUCAGGGAAGAACAAAUGUGUAAGUAAAUGUGCACAUCUUGACGGUACCUGAUAAAAAAGCCACGGCUAACUACGUG